This 253-nucleotide ribosomal RNA is filed under the name uncultured bacterium. RNAcentral describes it as "partial 16S ribosomal RNA". It matches the Rfam family "Bacterial small subunit ribosomal RNA", at positions 524 to 776 of the family's 1533-position model. The record is from RNAcentral.
UACAGAGGUCCCGAGCGUUGUUCGGAAUUACUGGGCGUAAAGGGCUCGUAGGUGGCCAACUAAGUCAGACGUGAAAUCCCUCGGCUUAACCGGGGAACUGCGUCUGAUACUGGAUGGCUUGAGUUCGGGAGAGGGAUGCGGAAUUCCAGGUGUAGCGGUGAAAUGCGUAGAUAUCUGGAGGAACACCGGUGGCGAAGGCGGCAUCCUGGACCGACACUGACACUGAGGAGCGAAAGCCAGGGGAGCAAACGGG